Chrysemys picta bellii (western painted turtle) is the source of this 6578-nucleotide long non-coding RNA. RefSeq lists it as uncharacterized. Lineage: Eukaryota; Metazoa; Chordata; Testudines; Emydidae. The record is from RefSeq and is a predicted model, not a curated record.
AAUUUAUAAGAGGGGGCGCACUCAGAGGCUUGCAAUGUGAAAGGGUUCACCAGUACAAAACUUUGAGAACCACUGUUGUAGAUGGUAAGCUCUUUGGGGCCAAGACUGUUCAUUUUGUGAGCUCCUCCUUAUUAAGUACACAGUCAGCCUCAGAAAUGGGUAAAUUAUACAUAGUUUAGUGGAUCUGCUAAAAAUAAAUGGAUUCUAGUAGAGCAGAAACUCCUUUAGGUCCUAGUCUGUACUUGAAAUUAAUAGGAAUUUGCCACAUAAAUCAGUGUGCACAGGAUUAGCCUUUUGUAGUCGUAAAAGAAGGGUAGCAGAGACAACAUACACAGAAUAUCCUUUUGGACUGUAUGACACAGUUCAAGUAACAAUCAGAUGGUGACCCUUUUCUCCACAUCUUUUCAUAGAUUCCAAAGCCAGAAGGGACCAUUGUGGUCAUCUAGUCUGACCUCCUGUAGAACACAGGCCAUAAAGGUCAACAUUGGAAUAACUUCACAAUGUAAUCAAUACAUGCCCUAAUACGAUAUUGUCUUAUAGUCAGUGUUGUAUUCUACAAUGAAGAGAAGAGACCUUAACUGCUCUAUGCUUCCUACCAUCGCCAUAGAAAUAUAACUUCCUGGAUUUUUGUAGAAAAGAGUGUCAGUACAGAUUGGAUUUCUUGUAGUUGCUUGUUAUAGAAGGACUAGUUGCAUUUCUUUUCUGAAUGCAGUUUAAUUUCAAAGCACCUCUUGCUCUGAAAACAGAAUGUGAUAUAAUGAUCAAAAGAUUUACAAAUUUCUAACCUAUCAUUUUUUUAUCAUUUGUUUAUAAUAUAUGAUAUGUAAUAUAUGAUGACAUCAUCCAGGUCAGGAUUGUGUCCCAUUGUUCUACACAUUUGUCAGAGGUAGACAUGCGUCCUGCACCAAAAAUCUUUCAGCCUAUGAUGUUUAUACAGUUCUGUUACACCUCUAAAAGUAAAACAAAUUAGGCCCAAAACAAGUUCUACAAAACCCAGCAGAAAAUUCUUAAUACAAAUUUAAAAGCAGUGUUUGCAAUCCAAAUAAUGUAGCAUUGUGCAAGUAGAUGAGAAAGUAAGAGAAACUCACUAGAAUCUAACUAAAAGUGAAACUGGUUUAUUUUCGUUUAUUAAGAUGCAGAAACAGCAGAAAUCGAUAAAAAAUAAGAUUUUUUUUAAUUCAGAUGCAAUUAUUGAAGUUACUCAUAACAGAAAUGUAAAGACUUUUUGUUUUGAAAUCCAGCUCAAACCCAGUAAACAGGUUUAGCAGUAGAGAAGUCAGUAGUCUUUUUUCAGACCUGUUUUAAAUAGGUGAAAAGUCUUUUAACUUGUUGGUGUUUAAGCUAAUUUCUUCCAAAGUGUGUUCCAUGUUUUGAACAGCUGAGCAGAAAAACAAUCACUGCUGUUCAAAGUAAAUGGUUUUCUGAACAGUUGCAUUAGCCCUAGCACGUGAGACUUGAGCCCUGUCUUGUCAUUGACCAAGCUGCUUUUAAAUGUGCAUUAAGGUGACUCUGUCUUGUCUGCAGUAAAAAGAUAAUGAAAAUACCAGGACCUUUUCCAAGCAUUUAGGAAGGUCUGAGGAAGAUGGGUAACUCUUCAAAUAGCUCAUGUUCUCUCUUCCAUUAGUACUGGAAGAUGAGAGCCAAAACUGUCUGAGCCUGCUGGAGAGGUGUGGCAGAGUGGGAAUGCCAGUUCUGUGGAAUGUUCUGUCCACUUGGAACUACACGCUUGAAGAGGUCGUGCUGGCUCAGGCAAUUGUGCAGAGGGACUGUAUCUUCACGCUGUCCCAAGUGUGCUGCUUGUAAGGGAUCUGUUUUAAGAGCCUUACCAGUUCUUUGUUCUGAAAUCCUCCCCAAUAGGCUAGAAGUGAACUCAGGGAUUUGAAGUUGAAUUAUUUGUAUUACCAGAACACCUAGAGGCCCCAACCAAGAUUAGGGUCCCAUUGUGCUAGGUGCCAUACAAAUACAUAGUAAAGGACAAUCUCUGACCCAAAGAAUUUACAGUCUAAGGUCCCUAUCCUACAUUGUGUAGCAUACAAUUGUGUAAUUUAAGACUGUAUCAUAUCCAUGUGCACAAGGGAGGCAAAUUAAGUUUACACAGGCCACCUUGAUUCGAUGUUUCCUAACUUCUGAGAGCUUGACUUUGCUUCCUUAAUGUUCUUUUAAUAUUUUGGUUAGGUUUUGCAGUGGUGGUGGUGGAGUGUUUAUAUAUAAUUUCCUUUCUCCUCUUUUAGAUGACAAUCGUCUGUGGGGAUUAGGAUUUUAAAUAAAAUAUCCCAUCAACAUCCUUUCCAGAUUUUUCCCAUUUCUAAUUCUACUCUACCUAAAUAGUUUUGGAUUUUUUGUUUUUUUUUAACAAUAGCAUACACUUCAUGGUUUUGGAGAUGUAUCCUAAAUUUUUAUUUCAGGAAGAUAGAGUUCCCACUGUACUUUUUCAGAUCUGUUGCUGUUUCCCCUUGAUAGACAGCGUACAUUCAGUUAUUUUUGGAAAUCAAACCCUUACCCAGUGCUGUGAAGCACUUUUACAAUAUGUAAUAGUGGGGAAAGCCACAUUAUAUGGCAGUGGUGGUGGUGGUGGUUGUGGGAAAUAUGGCACAAUGACACCCAUUUGAUGCAUGUGUUGGUCUACAGCAUCCGACUGUACACUAUACAUAGUGUAUUGUAUAAUGUACUUGUAUCAUAUAGGUCCAGUAAGAUUGAUACUUAGGUUUUUAGCAGACAACAUUUUUCUGUCCCCACAAACCACUGUGCAGUUUGCUGAGCACCAGCUGGUGCCAACCCUCCCUCCCACAUGUGGCUAUUUCAAUAGCACUGGAUGGAUAGUUUUUAAAGCACUUAAAAUCUUGUCACAUAAAAGCUACUUAAUUGUAACAUUUGUAUUUUUAUUCAAAUUAUUUUCUGAUUGCCUGCUACCUUUUUUGGAGAAUUUCAGGUGCUUCAGUUCUGUAUGCUAGUUCUACAGUGGAAAUGUUCUGUGCCCUAAAAUCUAUGCAAUAUUCCACAGGAGAACAUGUGAGGCUUGGUAAAGACAGUUGAGCCACAGCACAUACCAUAUUAGACAGAUGCUAGUACCCCAGGUAAAUCAGUGGACCGUGAUCAUGAUGGCUUUUCCUUGAAGCUCCAGAAGGGGGCUAACGGAGGUUAGCCCACCACACUUUCAUUUCCCAUUCUCAUACAUUCCCUCCCCUGAAAGUAUCCCCCACACUUAACAGUUUAAAUUCAAAUUCAGCAAUUCAAGCUAUGUUUAAGUUACCCAAACUCUCUUUGGGGCUCAUGUGAAACUAUGAGCCAAAUUCUCCAGUCUUUAGAGGGAAAAGUAGUCUUUGGAAAAUGCACGUAGGAUGUGAGAAGUGAGAGGAAGCAUGAUCUUGUGGCUCAGGCACUGGACUGGGACUGGAUUAAUUGCCUAAAGUGCUAUAGAUUCCCUGUGAGACAUUGGGCAAAUCACUUAGGCCCGGAUCCAUACAGGUAUUUAGGCUCCUAACUUUCAGUGAUUUCAAUGGGAUUUAGGAGCCUAAAUAUCUUUGUAGAUCUGGACCUUAAUUUCUCUGGACUUCAGCUCCCCUUUAGUAAAAUGGGGUAAUAGUACUUACGUUCUCCCAUCCUUUGUUUAUUUUCAGUGCCAACUGGAGUAAAAAGUAAGAAAAGCAUUUUUUAAAUAUAUCUUCUAUAAGUGAUCAUAUAAUCCAGAAACUUUAAGCUGCUGCUAGUUCCAUUUCUCCCCAGGACACACAUUAUACACAUUAACACCAUCAGAAAAAUAUACUACAACUGCUCUGUUUAUAAAUUCCAGCAAUUCUGAAAUUACAGUCAAGCAAUGGUAGACAUUCAGAUACAAAAGGGCUUUACAAAUGUUCCAGAUACUUACUAGCCAGAGGCCUACUAGUGAAGACAGGGAAAAAGGGGAUUCCUACUAGGUUAUUGGAUCCUGGUCUGGGAGUUUCAUAUCAACCUCCUCUUAGCAGGUAUCUGAUAAAAUUGAAGCCUUAUUUCCAACCUCUCCUUCCCCUCAGCUGCCGGAAGCGAGAAAGAGCUUUUUCUCCCAACUCCUCAUCACAGUCUCUUGCCUUGUUGUUUGGGGUGAGGGGGAAACAACAUCUGCACUACUCUAAACUUCCCCAGCAUCCUCAUGGAUACCAAUGGGCAGAGAGGGAUCUGCUAGGCUACACUUCCCACAGCCUCCUGGUUGCUGCUGACGCUAGAGCUGGCAGCAAAAUAGUCAAAAAGGAUGUAUUACUGCUGCAGCUGUUACAGAUCUUAUAAUGGCAUUAAGCUCUGACUCAGAGAGUAAUUUUGAGCCAAUGGAUUCUGGCAGUGACUACAGUUGUGAUAUUCCCACUAAGAAAACCAUUAUCAGCAAUAGAAAUGAUGAGGAGAGACUGGACAGUGGAAAAGCCUGGACCAAAGCAUGGAUUUUGAAACCUUUCUCUCUUUUAACUACCCCAAUAAUGUCCCACCACAAUACUUUCCACUAGGGGAGUAUCUGGAACUUAUGUAGUCAUUACAUGUUUUCACCCACACGAUAUUUUCAGUUUCUAAAUAUCUUCUAACCAGAUUAUUUAUACUAAAUAAAUGUUAAAUAAAUGGUAAAAUAUUAUUGGUGAACUUUUUAAACCAAAAAUGUACAGUUUUUAUGGUUUCUGUAGCAGCUAUAAUUGGGCACCAUUGUGCAUCUGUGGUGUCUUGUGUACACUUUUAUGUUAUAAAAUUGUGGUACUUUGUGCCUCUGGAGACUAUAUAUAAUAAUCAAUAUAUUUAUUUGGUUGGCAGUGUGAACCAUGCCAUUGUUCUAAGGAUUAACAUAUAAAAUAAACAAUAUGGUCAAAUUACAGUUGACUUUUACCUUUUACAUUGAACUUCCUGACUCUUAUGGGCUUAAAAAUGUCCACCAUAAUACAGAAUUAAUGUGACUUUUUGCAUUUCAUUUUCUAGUUUUUUUAUUAAAGAAAGAAAAUGUUGAGAAUUGAUUGAACUUUCAAAUAGGCAUACAGAGUACAUUUAUCUGAAUGAUAUCACACUGAAAUAGACAAUAAGUGGGUUUGUUUCAAUCUUCUGAUAUCAAAAAUAUAUGGGAAAUACAAGCAUGCUCAUUUUUGUGAGCAGACAUUUUAAUUUGCAGGGGGCAGCAUGGCAAAAAGUGAAUGAGUCUGACAGUGUUCAGUGGUAUUGCUCAUUAAGCAGGAAUAUGUGAAACAGACCCUUGAGACAGAAAGCUGAAUUGGACAUGUGAAAUCUUUACUGUGGAUAACAUCAGAAAGCACAUAUGAAGAGGGUAUUUCAUUGGUGUAACUUCUGAUAUUUCAGAAUGUUUUAUAGGGUGUGCCCGGUUACAGUUCUGAAAAGUUAAUUUAUGGUACCUCAGAGGGCUCUUGUAGUCUAUGUAAAGGCAAUAAAGUCACAUAUAAUAGUAUUCCUGACCCUCAUUGAAAGUACUUCAGGUGAUGACACCAAUAUUUGAAUUCUGGACACAGCUCAGUGUGAUAUUUAAGUGUAUAGUUAAGUAUAUUGAGAUUUAUAAAAGGCACACAAUCAACAUAAAAGUACGCUGUAUUAAAAUAUCCUUAUCACUGGUACUAACAACACUUUACUUUAUUAAAAAAGAAUUUUUAAAAUAUUGUUUACUUUUUACUAUUCCUGGAAUUCUCAAAUAUUUUGAUAGUAUAGACCAUAUCUUAAUGGAGAUUCCUCGUAAUAAAACUCCUCAUGCAUUUUUAGUCACAUAAUAUCACUCUGGGAACUACAGCAGUUGCUUGUAUUGAGCAGUAUUAUCAGGAAAAUAUGUAUGUAUUUUAACUGCCUUAAUGCAAUGCAUUGUGUCUUUUUUUAAAAGUUAAUAUUAUUCUCUUCUUUUCCUCUUCCUUUCAUUUUCCCCCUCCCAUUUGUUCUGUUUCUCUCUGUUCAUGCUUCUCUACUGUCUUGCCAUCUUUUACGUUUCUUUCACUACACAUGCUUGCUUGUUAUGUAGACCUCCUGUUCCUCUGCAUACAUUUUCCCACAGCUUGAUUCUCUUUUCUCCUGGACAUUAGCUCCAGCAGCUACCUGGUCUUUUGGACAAACCACCCAGCUGCCUUGUUUUCUUUUCUUCUGCUCCCCUGGUCACUCCGCUCCCAUUUUUUAUUCUAGAUGCUAAGUGUAACUCUUGGUUCCUCUCCUGUUCCGUUUAUACAGCAGAGGCGGGGUGGCUGGCUGGCUGGCUCCUUCACCUCAUUCCCAGCUGCUUUUGGAAAGCCUCCCAGUUCUUCUAUGCUAUAAAAACCCUGGAGACCUGUAAAAGCAGCUGGAAAUGAAGAGUAAAGACAGGUCUCCAUGGACCAUAAGCAAGUGUUUUGUGGACCUUAGUUUGAGAACCUCUGAUGUUUGUUUUCUUUUUGCUUUGCAUUGCAUUUCACUUGGGACCCAAUCCAUCUCCCACUGAAGCCAACAGGAGUCUUUCCACUGACUUUAGAUUUGGGAGAUAGAUCUGGCCCAUUUAUUGGAAAGUGAAAGUAGACUGGUUUUAUUUUUAUUUCUAGUCAGUUUCAUUUUCAGGUUCUCAUGCACUGACUAGAACAGGGGUCAGCAACCUUUCAGAAGUGGUGUGC